GGGCCCGCACAAGCGGUGGAGCAUGUGGUUUAAUUCGAUGAUACGCGAGGAACCUUACCAGGGCUUAAAUGUAGUCUGACAGGGGUGGAAACACCCCCUCCUUCUGGCAGAUUACAAGGUGCUGCAUGGUUUUCGUCAGCUCGUGCCGUGAGGUGUCAGGUUAAGUCCUAUAACGAGCGCAACCCCUGCCGUUAGUUGCCAGCAUGUAAUGAUGGGAACUCUAACGGGACUGCCGGUGCAAACCGCGAGGAAGGUGGGGAUGACGUCAAAUCAUCACGGCCCUUACGUCCUGGGCUACACACGUGCUACAAUGGCCGGUACAGAGGGCAGCCACACCGCAAGGUGGAGCG
RNAcentral lists this ribosomal RNA (350 nucleotides) under uncultured bacterium. RNAcentral describes it as "bacterial SSU rRNA". It matches the Rfam family "Bacterial small subunit ribosomal RNA", at positions 917 to 1269 of the family's 1533-position model. The record is from RNAcentral.